CCCGCGUGGUGAAGAAGGCCUGAGGGUUGUAAAGCACUUUCAGUGGGGAGGAGGGUUGAUAGGUUAAGAGNUGAUUAACUGGACGUUACCCACAGAAGAAGCACCGGCUAACUCCGUGCCAGCAGCCGCGGUAAUACGGAGGGUGCGAGCGUUAAUCGGAAUUACUGGGCGUAAAGGGUGCGUAGGUGGUUGAUUAAGUUAUCUGUGAAAUUCCUGGGCUUA
Molecule: ribosomal RNA, 222 nt
Filed under: Legionella pneumophila subsp. pneumophila
Lineage: Bacteria; Pseudomonadati; Pseudomonadota; Gammaproteobacteria; Legionellales; Legionellaceae
Description: partial 16S ribosomal RNA
Rfam family: Bacterial small subunit ribosomal RNA
Source: RNAcentral